This 465-nucleotide ribosomal RNA is filed under the name uncultured bacterium. RNAcentral's name for it is "partial 16S ribosomal RNA". It matches the Rfam family "Bacterial small subunit ribosomal RNA", at positions 338 to 795 of the family's 1533-position model. The record is from RNAcentral.
CCUACGGGAGGCUGCAGUAGGGAAUCUUCCACAAUGGGCGAAAGCCUGAUGGAGCAACGCCGCGUGGGUGAAGAAGGUCUUCGGAUCGUAAAACCCUGUUGUUAGAGAAGAAAGUGCGUGAGAGUAACUGUUCACGUUUCGACGGUAUCUAACCAGAAAGCCACGGCUAACUACGUGCCAGCAGCCGCGGUAAUACGUAGGUGGCAAGCGUUAUCCGGAUUUAUUGGGCGUAAAGGGAACGCAGGCGGUCUUUUAAGUCUGAUGUGAAAGCCUUCGGCUUAACCGGAGUAGUGCAUUGGAAACUGGGAGACGUGAGUGCAGAAGAGGAGAGUAGAACACCAUGUGUAGCGGUGAAAUGCGUAGAUAUAUGGAAGAACACCAGUGGCGAAAGCGGCUCUCUGGUCUGUAACUGACGCUGAGGUUCGAAAGCGUGGGUAGCAAACAGGAUUAGAUACCCCAGUAGUC